CCUACGGGUGGCAGUAGUGAGGAAUAUUGGUCAAUGGCCGAGAGGCUGAACCAGCCAAGUCGCGUGAGGGAAGACGGCCCUACGGGUUGUAAACCUCUUUUGUCGGGGAGCAAAGAGAGUCAAGUGUGACUCAUUGAGAGUACCCGAAGAAAAAGCAUCGGCAAACACCGUGCCAGCAGCCGCGGUAAUACGGGGGAUGCGCGCGUUAUCCGGAUUUAUUGGGGUAAAGGGGUGCGCAGGCGGAGGUGCAAGUCAGCGGUCACCUUGCGGGGUCCAACCCCGGACUGCCGUUGAAACUGCAUCCCUUGAGUGCGCGAGAGGUAUGCGGAAUGCGUGGUGUAGCGGUGAAAUGCAUAGAUAUCACGCAGAACUCCGAUGGCGAAGGCAGCAUACCGGCGCGCAACUGACGCUCAUGCACGAAAGCGUGGGUAUCGAACAGGAUUAGAUACCCGGGUAGUC
Molecule: ribosomal RNA, 459 nt
Filed under: uncultured bacterium
Lineage: Bacteria
Description: partial 16S ribosomal RNA
Rfam family: Bacterial small subunit ribosomal RNA
Source: RNAcentral